CAAGCUUGUUUCUAGGGGUCCU
Molecule: microRNA, 22 nt
Filed under: Lottia gigantea (owl limpet)
Lineage: Eukaryota; Metazoa; Mollusca; Gastropoda; Lottiidae
Description: Lgi-Mir-10-P2_3p* (star (passenger))
Source: RNAcentral